AGUAAAAGUCGUAACAAGGUUUCCGUAGGUGAACCUGCGGAAGGAUCAUUAUCGUACAAUCGAGGUGCGAGGGCUGUCGCUGACCUCCAAAGGUCGUGCACGCCCGAGCACUCUCGCACAAAAUCCAUCUCACCCCUUUGUGCAUCACCGCGCGGGUCCCCCCUUUGCAGGAGGGCUCACGUUUUCACACAAAAUUUGAUACAGUCUAGAAUGUUUUGUUUUUGCGGUCACACGCAAUCAAUACAACUUUCAACAACGGAUCUCUUGGCUCUCGCAUCGAUGAAGAACGCAGCGAAAUGCGAUACGUAAUGUGAAUUGCAGAAUUCAGUGAAUCAUCGAAUCUUUGAACGCACCUUGCGCCCCUUGGCAUUCCGAGGGGCACACCCGUUUGAGUGUCGUGAAAUCCUCAAAACCCCCUUUUCUUUCAUCGGAACGGGGAUUUUGGACUUGGAGGUUCAAUGCUUGCUUUUGCUUUCAAAGGCGAGCUCCUCUUAAAUGAAUCAGUGGGGUCCGCUUUGCUGAUCCUUGACGUGAUAAUAUGUUUCUACGUUUUGGAUCUGGCACUGUUUUCUCCGCUCCUAAUCGUCUCAUUGACAAUGAUGGUGCUUCGGUCCCCUGCCAUCUACGUUGGCGGGAGGCUGGACCCACAAAAAUAAAACCUUGACCUC
This 668-nucleotide ribosomal RNA is filed under the name uncultured Russula. Its description in RNAcentral is "eukaryotic LSU rRNA". The stretch from base 245 to 398 matches the Rfam family "5.8S ribosomal RNA". The record is from RNAcentral. Lineage: Eukaryota; Fungi; Basidiomycota; Agaricomycetes; Russulales; Russulaceae.